RNAcentral lists this ribosomal RNA (761 nucleotides) under uncultured Lysobacteraceae bacterium. RNAcentral describes it as "bacterial SSU rRNA". It matches the Rfam family "Bacterial small subunit ribosomal RNA", at positions 28 to 776 of the family's 1533-position model. Lineage: Bacteria; Pseudomonadati; Pseudomonadota; Gammaproteobacteria; Lysobacterales; Lysobacteraceae. The record is from RNAcentral.
AGUGAACGCUGGCGGUAGGCCUAACACAUGCAAGUCGAACGGCAGCACAGUAAGAGCUUGCUCUUACGGGUGGCGAGUGGCGGACGGGUGAGGAAUACAUCGGAAUCUACUCUGUCGUGGGGGAUAACGUAGGGAAACUUACGCUAAUACCGCAUACGACCUACGGGUGAAAGCAGGGGAUCUUCGGACCUUGCGCGAUUGAAUGAGCCGAUGUCGGAUUAGCUAGUUGGCGGGGUAAAGGCCCACCAAGGCGACGAUCCGUAGCUGGUCUGAGAGGAUGAUCAGCCACACUGGAACUGAGACACGGUCCAGACUCCUACGGGAGGCAGCAGUGGGGAAUAUUGGACAAUGGGCGCAAGCCUGAUCCAGCCAUACCGCGUGGGUGAAGAAGGCCUUCGGGUUGUAAAGCCCUUUUGUUGGGAAAGAAAUCCAGCUGGUUAAUACCCGGUUGGGAUGACGGUACCCAAAGAAUAAGCACCGGCUAACUUCGUGCCAGCAGCCGCGGUAAUACGAAGGGUGCAAGCGUUACUCGGAAUUACUGGGCGUAAAGCGUGCGUAGGUGGUCGUUUAAGUCCGUUGUGAAAGCCCUGGGCUCAACCUGGGAACUGCAGUGGAUACUGGGCGACUAGAGCGUGGUAGAGGGUAGCGGAAUUCCUGGUGUAGCAGUGAAAUGCGUAGAGAUCAGGAGGAACAUCCAUGGCGAAGGCAGCUACCUGGACCAACACUGACACUGAGGCACGAAAGCGUGGGGAGCAAACAGG